Molecule: unclassified non-coding RNA, 277 nt
Filed under: Hevea brasiliensis (rubber tree)
Lineage: Eukaryota; Viridiplantae; Streptophyta; Magnoliopsida; Malpighiales; Euphorbiaceae
Source: RNAcentral
GGCCUUGCUUCAUAUAACCCUUCAUUAAAGUUGUGUAUAUUCUAGAGUCAGGAGCAUAAGCUUUAGGCAAUAAUGGUGGCUCGGUGUUACUAGCUUCAACCCAAUUUGGAAGUAACUUGUUAAACACAUUAUUCUCAUCCUUAUCCUCGACUGUAUCUUCCUCAUCUUCACAAUAAUCAUCCAAAUUCGCCUCCCUAAGAAUCUUACAAAGAUCUCUCCUUUCUUCUCUCAUUGCUUGAACAAUUUUCUCCGCGGCUUCCAGGUCCUCAAACCCAAC